CCCUUAGAUGUUCUGGGCCGCACACGCGCUACACUGAAGGAGGCAGCGUGUACUCCUGGAUCGAAAGAUUUGGGUAACCCGCGAAUCUCCUUCGUGCUAGGGAUUGAGGUUUGCAAUUAUCCUUCAUGAACGAGGAAUUCCCAGUACGUGCAAGUCAUAAGCUUGCGCUGACUACGUCCCUGCCCUUUGUACACACCGCCCGUCGCUACUACCGAUUGAAUGAUUUAGUGAGGACUUCGGACUGGGACCGAUGCGGCUUUCGGGCUGCGUCGGUAUUCUGGAAAGAUGUCCAAACUGUAUCAUUUAGAGGAAGUAAAAGUCGUAACA
RNAcentral lists this ribosomal RNA (327 nucleotides) under uncultured eukaryote. RNAcentral describes it as "partial 18S ribosomal RNA". It matches the Rfam family "Eukaryotic small subunit ribosomal RNA", at positions 1470 to 1796 of the family's 1831-position model. The record is from RNAcentral.